Streptococcus pneumoniae 2070335 is the source of this 122-nucleotide non-coding RNA. Lineage: Bacteria; Bacillati; Bacillota; Bacilli; Lactobacillales; Streptococcaceae. The record is from Rfam.
GCGUUCUUCAAGCGAGCUUGGGAUAGUGGGAGCCAAGUAGGGCAAAAUAAUGAGCUGGCGCUUUCUGUAGUAUUUUCAAAAACAAUGAAGUAAUAAAUUAGGGUGGAACCGCGUUUCUGACG